Molecule: unclassified non-coding RNA, 2927 nt
Filed under: Drosophila mojavensis
Lineage: Eukaryota; Metazoa; Arthropoda; Insecta; Diptera; Drosophilidae
Description: GI14170
Source: RNAcentral
GAAUUUUAAUUUAAUUCGUACUUAAAGAAGGGACUUUGCUGUAGUUGAAUUUUUAAACAGUGCAACGCUUAAGAAAACAACCUAUUUUGCUUGAAUCUGUCGUAGCCAAUCAUUAAAACCCCAUUAACCAUUAACCAUUGAGAACCACAAAAAAAGCAUUAUGGAAAUCCAACAAUUGGAAAUAUUGUGCAAGCAGCUGUAUGAAGCGACAGAUGCAAACAUACGUGCUGAUGCUGAAAAGAGACUGGCGAUAUUUGUUAAUAGCAACGAUGCUUUACCAAAAUGCCAGUUACUGCUAGAUCGAGCUGAUUCCAGUUAUGCACAACUUCUUGCAGCUUCUACCCUCACAAAACUCAUUCAAGGUAUAACUCUCGGACAACGCAUUGAUAUUCGCAGCUAUGCCCUCAACUAUUUGGCAACCAGACUUAAUUUGCAACACUUUGUAGUACAAGCACUUGUAACACUUUUAGCAAAAAUUACAAAAUAUGGAUGGUUCGAUUCAUGCAAGGGAGAAUUCAUCUUUCAAAACAUACUUGAGGACGUAAAAAAGUUUUUACAGGGCUCGGUUGAGCAUUGUACUAUUGGCGUACAAAUUCUGUCGCAGUUGGUAACAGAAAUGAAUUCAAUUGUGGAGCUAGAUGCACACUUGUCAUUCUCUAAAAACCGUAAGAUAGCUACAUCUUACCGAGAUCACCAACUGUACGAUACGUUUCUACUUUCCUGUUCCCUUUUGAUAAAUGCUCGAGAUAAUAGCAAGAACUUAAACUUUCUGGACGAGUCGCAACAGGCGCUAAUAACACAAGUCUUGCGGCUUACAAAGAACUGUCUUAGCUUCGACUUUAUUGGUAGUUCCACCGACGAGUCAGCAGAUGAUAUGAACAAUGUCCAGAUACCAACAGCUUGGCGUCCUGCAUUUCUUGAUGCAAACACAUUAAAAUUAUUUUUUGACUUAUAUCAAAUAUUACCAAAUGGCUUAGCCAGUUAUUCACUGUCGUGCCUAGUACAAAUGACAUCCGUACGUCGAUCUUUAUUUAGUAACUCAGAAAGAACGAAAUUUCUCACAAAUUUGGUAGAAGGUGUCAAAAAUAUUCUCAAAAAUUUGCAUGGUCUAAGCGAUCCAGAUAAUUAUCAUGAAUUUUGUCGAUUGCUAGCACGUUUGAAGUCCAAUUACCAACUUGGAGAGCUCAUAGCCGUUCCUUGUUACCCCGAAGCCAUAGAAUUGAUAGCAAAGUUUACCGUACAAUCAUUACAUAUGUGGCUCUUUGCUCCAAAUAGUGUGCACUAUUUACUUACCUUAUGGCAGCGUAUGGUCGCAUCAGUACCGUAUGUGAAAUCGCCGGAUCCGCACUUACUUGGCACGUACACACCUGAAGUUAUUAAGGCGUAUAUAGAGUCUCGUCUAGAUGCUGUGACGUUGAUUGUACGUGAUAAUAUGGAGGAUCCAUUAGACGAUCUUUGUAUGGUGCAACAACAACUUGAGCAGUUAUCGGUAAUCGAGCGCUGCGAAUAUAAUAAAACUUGCAAUCUUCUUGUACAGCAUUUCGACCAAAAGGCCCGAGAAUACGAAAAUCUCUUGCAGACACAUAAUUCAAGCCCCAUAGAUAUUACGGUUCAUGAGUUACAGCUGACAUGGUUGGUUUACAUAAUUGGUUCGGCUAUUGUUGGAAGACUUUCUGUUACUACCAGUGAUGAGCACGAUAAUAUGGAUGCAGAGCUUGUUAUUCGUGUAUUGCAGCUAAUGAGUUUAACUGACUCACGUCUACCUCAAACUGGUUGCGAAAAGCUAGAACUGGCCAUUUUAAGCUUUUUAGACCAAGUUCGUAAAAUGCAUAGCAGUGAUCAGGCUCAAAAGGCAACUGUUUAUAAACGACUCAACGAAGUCUUUGGACUAAAUGAUGAGCAAAUGUUGCUUAGUUUUAUUAACCGCAAAAUUAUUACAAAUCUUAAAUUUUGGGGCCGCUCUGAGCAAAUAAUUACAAAAACUUUAGUUUUAUUAUCCGAUCUCUCUGUGCAUUUUAAUUCAGUGCGAAAAUUAGCGCGUCUAGAAGAAGUACAGUUUAUGUUAACACAUCACACAAGCGAACACUUUCCUUUUCUUGGUACGAGCUCUUCCCUGAACGAAAUGCGUUGCCGUACAAUGUUUUAUACAUCUCUAAGUAGGUUACUAAUGUUUGAUUUGGGAGAAGAUGAAGAACGUUUCUAUAAUUUUCUUACUCCGCUUACAAAUCAGUUUGAAUCACUUGGAAAUGUGUUAAUGGAUACAAAAUGCUUUCCUAAUGAAGAGGUCAAAAAGGCAAUUAUUGGGCUAGCUCGGGACCUACGCGGCCUAGCAUUACCGCUUAAUGCUCGCAUUCAAUAUACAAUGCUUUUUGAAUGGCUUUAUUAUACGGAUUACUUACCUAUACUGCUUCGUGCAGUUGAAUUGUGGGCUCAUGAACCUGCCAUUACUACGCCUGUGUUAAAGCUAUUUGCUGAAUUAGUGCAUUGUCGAACCCAGCGUCUAGCAGGAAAUGUGUCUAGCCCUAUGGGAAUUUUACUUUUUCGUGAGGCUUCAAAACUUAUUUGCAUAUAUGGCAAUCGUAUUUUACAUCUAGAAGUAACAACUGAUCAACUUUACCCGAUGAAAUUGAAGGGGAUAUCAAUAUGCUUCUUAAUCUUAAAAAAUGCGCUUGGAGGGAACUAUGUGAACUGUGGCGUGUUUAAAUUAUACGGUGAUGAUACAUUACAUAACGUACUUGAUAUCAUUGCCCAACUUAUUCUCUCUAUACGACAAAGUGAUUUAUUGAUUCGGCAAUUUACAUAAGCUGCUGUACAAUUUUGGACAGUAUUGUUUCGUACAUAUUUAAGCAGCUACAAUUAAAAACUUCAACAUUCCCAAAUAAAAAGCUACGAAGUUUGUCACGAGAAAACACUCAAUUUCUUAAGGU